ACGCUCGACACCUACGGGAGCAGCAGUUGGGAAUAUUGGACAAUGGAGGAAACUCUGAUCCAGUGACGCCGCGUGAAGGAAGAAGGUCUUCGGAUUGUAAACUUAUUUUGUCAGGGAAGAAAAAUGACUGUACCUGAAGAAAAAGCACCGGCUAACUACGUGCCUAGCAGCCGCGGUAAUCUGAGCGGGCUGGCAAGGC
This 199-nucleotide ribosomal RNA is filed under the name uncultured bacterium. RNAcentral's name for it is "partial 16S ribosomal RNA". It matches the Rfam family "Bacterial small subunit ribosomal RNA", at positions 328 to 539 of the family's 1533-position model. The record is from RNAcentral.